AUUGAACGCUGGCGGCAGGCCUAACACAUGCAAGUCGAACGGUAGCACAGAGAGCUUGCUCUCGGGUGACGAGUGGCGGACGGGUGAGUAAUGUCUGGGAGACUGCCCGAUGGAGGGGGAUAACUACUGGAAACGCUAGCUAAUACCGCAUAACGUCGCAAGACCAAAGUGGGGGACCUUCGGGCCUCACACCAUCGGAUGUGCCCAGAUGGGAUUAGCUAGUAGGUGGGGUAAUGGCUCACCUAGGCGACGAUCCCUAGCUGGUCUGAGAGGAGGACCAGCCACACUGGAACUGGGACACGGUCCAGACUCCUACGGGAGGCAGCAGUGGGGAAUAUUGCACAAUGGGCGCAAGCCUGAUGCAGCCAUGCCGCGUGUAUGAAGAAGGCCUUCGGGUUGUAAAGUACUUUCAGCGGGGAGGAAGGCGGUGAAGUUAAUAACUUCACCGAUUGACGUUACCCGCAGAAGAAGCACCGGCUAACUCCGUGCCAGCAGCCGCCGUAA
RNAcentral lists this ribosomal RNA (504 nucleotides) under uncultured bacterium. RNAcentral describes it as "partial 16S ribosomal RNA". It matches the Rfam family "Bacterial small subunit ribosomal RNA", at positions 30 to 523 of the family's 1533-position model. The record is from RNAcentral.